This 440-nucleotide ribosomal RNA is filed under the name uncultured bacterium. RNAcentral's name for it is "partial 16S ribosomal RNA". It matches the Rfam family "Bacterial small subunit ribosomal RNA", at positions 338 to 795 of the family's 1533-position model. The record is from RNAcentral.
CCUACGGGAGGCAGCAGUGGGGAAUAUUGCACAAUGGGGGAAACCCUGAUGCAGCGACGCCGCGUGAGCGAAGAAGUAUUUCGGUAUGUAAAGCUCUAUCAGCAGGGAAGAAAAUGACGGUACCUGAUUAAGAAGCCCCGGCUAACUACGUGCCAGCAGCCGCGGUAAUACGUAGGGGGCAAGCGUUAUCCGGAUUUACUGGGUGUAAAGGGAGCGUAGACGGCAGCACAAGUCUGGAGUGAAAUGCCGGGGCUUAACCCCGGAACUGCUUUGGAAACUGUGCAGCUGGAGUGCAGGAGAGGUAAGUGGAAUUCCUAGUGUAGCGGUGAAAUGCGUAGAUAUUAGGAGGAACACCAGUGGCGAAGGCGGCUUACUGGACUGUAACUGACGUUGAGGCUCGAAAGCGUGGGGAGCAAACAGGAUUAGAUACCCCAGUAGUC